RNAcentral lists this ribosomal RNA (500 nucleotides) under uncultured bacterium. RNAcentral describes it as "partial 16S ribosomal RNA". It matches the Rfam family "Bacterial small subunit ribosomal RNA", at positions 30 to 523 of the family's 1533-position model. The record is from RNAcentral.
AUUGAACGCUGGCGGCAUGCUUUACACAUGCAAGUCGAACGGUAACAGGGUGCUUGCACCGCUGACGAGUGGCGAACGGGUGAGUAAUGCGUCGGAACGUGCCUAGUAGUGGGGGGUAACGCAGCGAAAGUUGUGCUAAUACCGCAUACGUACUGAGGUAGAAAGUGGGGGACCUUCGGGCCUCACGCUAUUCGAGCGGCCGAUGUCUGAGUAGCUAGUAGGUGAGGUAAAGGCUCACCUAGGCGACGAUCAGUAGCGGGUCUGAGAGGAUGAUCCGCCACACUGGGACUGAGACACGGCCCAGACUCCUACGGGAGGCAGCAGUGGGGAAUUUUGGACAAUGGGCGAAAGCCUGAUCCAGCCAUGCCGCGUGUCUGAAGAAGGCCUUCGGGUUGUAAAGGACUUUUGUCAGGGAGGAAAUCCCUAGUGCUAAUAACACUGGGGGAUGACAGUACCUGAAGAAUAAGCACCGGCUAACUACGUGCCAGCCGCCGCGGUAA